This 253-nucleotide ribosomal RNA is filed under the name uncultured bacterium. RNAcentral describes it as "partial 16S ribosomal RNA". It matches the Rfam family "Bacterial small subunit ribosomal RNA", at positions 524 to 776 of the family's 1533-position model. The record is from RNAcentral.
UACGGGGGGAGCAAGCGUUGUUCGGAUUUACUGGGCGUAAAGGGCGCGUAGGCGGCGUGACAAGUCACUUGUGAAAUCUCCGGGCUUAACUCGGAACGGUCAAGUGAUACUGUCGUGCUAGAGUACAGAAGGGGCAACUGGAAUUCUCGGUGUAGCGGUGAAAUGCGUAGAUAUCGAGAGGAACACCUGCGGCGAAGGCGGGUUGCUGGGCUGAUACUGACGCUGAGGCGCGAAGGUCAGGGGAGCAAACGGG